MicroRNA precursor from Notamacropus eugenii (tammar wallaby), 98 nucleotides. Ensembl annotates it as microRNA 99a. Its record names the gene MIR99A. Lineage: Eukaryota; Metazoa; Chordata; Mammalia; Diprotodontia; Macropodidae. The record is from Ensembl.
GUGUGAUAUUGCUAACUGGUACAAACCCGUAGAUCCGAUCUUGUGGUGAAAUUGACUUCACAAGCUCGCCUCUUUGGGUCUGUGUCAGUGUAGUAAUC